Long non-coding RNA from Bactrocera dorsalis (oriental fruit fly), 902 nucleotides. RefSeq lists it as uncharacterized. The record is from RefSeq and is a predicted model, not a curated record. The transcript is spliced from 3 exons. NCBI's taxonomy places the organism in Eukaryota, Metazoa, Arthropoda, Insecta, Diptera, Tephritidae.
AGGUUAUCUUGUAACCUACCCAUAAAAUGCGAGGUUAGCCAUAUAAUUUGUAUGAAAAGAUAACCUCGGUCUGCUCUAUAACCUACGCGGUUAUUUUAUAACCUACUAAAAUAUGCAUUGUUGCAUUGGAAAGCAGUCGAAAUAUACUCGAAAUUGCGACACUUCAGUAUCUAUUGUGAAUAUUUUUGCUUAAAUUUGACAGCAACUGACAAAAAAUUCGCAGGAAUUUAAAAGAUGGAGCAAUUAAAUCGGAAAAGGAAAAACCGUGUUAAAUGGACAAUAGAUGCAGAGAAAUUGCUGCUAUUGCACUGGGCAGAUAGCAUAGACGAAUUACGAAGCGCGAAAAAAAAUUUUCAUAUCUUUGCGCGUUUGGAAAAGGAAUUUUCAAAAAGGCAGAUGAACUACAGUGCAGCUGAAAUAAAGGAAAAAGUCCAUAAUUUUACCAAUCGAUACAAGUAAGUACAUUUAAAAUUAUAAAAGUAUAUUUUGCUGCAUACUCACAGCAUUAUAAUACAUACAUAUGUAUUUUAUUUUAUAGAUUAGAAAAGAAUGCGGUGGGUAUGACUAGUGGUUCGCCUUCCUCUUGGAUCCACUACAAGGAGGUGGAAGAAAUACUCAGUGGUAAUAAGGCAGUAAAUUUCAAAGAACUCAUGCAAGAGAGUAUAGAUGUGGAACCAGAUGACAACAAUGGUUGCUCUGCUAUCUACCCUUCGACGAGCAGCCAAUCCCAAUCCAUUUCAAGCGAUGAGCUUUCAGGACUUUCGACGACUCCGGAGUCUGCAAAAAGAAGGAAAUUAACCCAUGAGCGUUUAAUAGAGAAUUUGGAAAAAACUUCAGAUAUGUUUGAGAAAGAAAUGGAGUCCAUGAGAGGGGUGCAAGAAAGAAUAGUGGAACUAACCGAA